AGAGUUUGAUCCUGGCUCAGGAUGAACGCUAGCUACAGGCUUAACACAUGCAAGUCGAGGGGCAUCAGGAAGAAAGCUUGCUUUCUUUGCUGGCGACCGGCGCACGGGUGAGUAACACGUAUCCAACCUGCCCUUUACUCGGGGAUAGCCUUUCGAAAGAAAGAUUAAUACCCGAUGGCAUAAUGAUUCCGCAUGGUUUCAUUAUUAAAGGAUUCCGGUAAAGGAUGGGGAUGCGUUCCAUUAGGUUGUUGGUGAGGUAACGGCUCACCAAGCCUUCGAUGGAUAGGGGUUCUGAGAGGAAGGUCCCCCACAUUGGAACUGAGACACGGUCCAAACUCCUACGGGAGGCAGCAGUGAGGAAUAUUGGUCAAUGGGCGCUAGCCUGAACCAGCCAAGUAGCGUGAAGGAUGAAGGCCCUAUGGGUUGUAAACUUCUUUUAUAAAGGAAUAAAGUCGGGUAUGGAUACCCGUUUGCAUGUACUUUAUGAAUAAGGAUCGGCUAACUCCGUGCCAGCAGCCGCGGUAAUACGGAGGAUCCGAGCGUUAUCCGGAUUUAUUGGGUUUAAAGGGAGCGUAGAUGGAUGUUUAAGUCAGUUGUGAAAGUUUGCGGCUCAACCGUAAAAUUGCAGUUGAUACUGGAUAUCUUGAGUGCAGUUGAGGCAGGCGGAAUUCGUGGUGUAGCGGUGAAAUGCUUAGAUAUCACGAAGAACUCCGAUUGCGAAGGCAGCCUGCUAAGCUGCAACUGACAUUGAGGCUCGAAAGUGUGGGUAUCAAACAGGAUUAGAUACCCUGGUAGUCCACACGGUAAACGAUGAAUACUCGCUGUUUGCGAUAUACAGCAAGCGGCCAAGCGAAAGCGUUAAGUAUUCCACCUGGGGAGUACGCCGGCAACGGUGAAACUCAAAGGAAUUGACGGGGGCCCGCACAAGCGGAGGAACAUGUGGUUUAAUUCGAUGAUACGCGAGGAACCUUACCCGGGCUUAAAUUGCAGAUGAAUUACGGUGAAAGCCGUAAGCCGCAAGGCAUCUGUGAAGGUGCUGCAUGGUUGUCGUCAGCUCGUGCCGUGAGGUGUCGGCUUAAGUGCCAUAACGAGCGCAACCCUUGUUGUCAGUUACUAACAGGUUCCGCUGAGGACUCUGACAAGACUGCCAUCGUAAGAUGUGAGGAAGGUGGGGAUGACGUCAAAUCAGCACGGCCCUUACGUCCGGGGCUACACACGUGUUACAAUGGGGGGUACAGAGGGCCGCUACCACGCGAGUGGAUGCCAAUCCCAAAAACCUCUCUCAGUUCGGACUGGAGUCUGCAACCCGACUCCACGAAGCUGGAUUCGCUAGUAAUCGCGCAUCAGCCACGGCGCGGUGAAUACGUUCCCGGGCCUUGCACACACCGCCCGU
Molecule: ribosomal RNA, 1393 nt
Filed under: uncultured bacterium
Lineage: Bacteria
Description: bacterial SSU rRNA
Rfam family: Bacterial small subunit ribosomal RNA
Source: RNAcentral